Sardina pilchardus (European sardine) is the source of this 1160-nucleotide long non-coding RNA. RefSeq lists it as uncharacterized. Lineage: Eukaryota; Metazoa; Chordata; Actinopteri; Clupeiformes; Clupeidae. The transcript is spliced from 4 exons. The record is from RefSeq and is a predicted model, not a curated record.
CUCAAUAAAAUUGCUGAGCUGUACUCAAAGCUGCCAUAUUGUUCUGGAACCACAAAAGUUUUAAGUUCACUCAACUGGUUUCCCAGUUAUUGAUUAUUUAGAGUAGAGUAGCGCUUAGUAUAUGAGUAGAACUGACCUCCUAACUCAUUUCUUUCAAGAGUGGAUUGAAAUUACGUCUGACGUAGUAAUGACGUGCUAGUUCAUUGGCUAGGUUCAUUUCAACACGGCUUGCAGCCACUUGCAACUAACCUACACAAACCAACACAAACCCACAAAAACAAAUAAGCAUUUUAAAAAUUGGAAAUGAUGGAUGAACUAGUAUAUGGUUGAUUUUGGCGGAUGUAAAUUAAUACACUUUGACAUCAGACGACUAGUUUGCAAGGACUGCUGCGCACCCGGAUGUAGACAACAACAACAACAUCAAGAUCCAUCAGCAACAGCCUUCCAAAGGUGCAACGGACCAGAUGGCGCUGUGACAUUCAUUUUCAGUUCUGUGCAAGGAACCAUCAUGCCAUGGACGAUGCUGAUGUCAACAGCAGACGAACAAUUAUUCUGCAGGCCCUUCUAAUCUUCCUGCAGGAUGACCUGGAAUGUAGAAGAAAUUGACCUGCCUGACCUCUCGGAUGCAGCUGUACCUAUUCUCACUGUCUCAAGUGAUACGGACUCCCUUGUGAAGUUUGGUCAUGCUAUCCAUUCUAUAGUUCUUGAGGGAGCUAUUGUUGAGUGUGAUAUAACAGAGUUGACAGAUGCGUUAAUUUUACUGUUUGCCUUAAUUUAUGCACUUCAUGUCGAUUAUCCAAAGCAAUUGUCUUACGCAUUUAAUUUCAUUCAAAAAUUAUAAUAGGUUUGGGUGACCUGAAGUCGUUACCUCCUAGACUACUUAGCCUUAAAAAUGAAUUGCUGAUGAUGGAUGAGUAUGCAGUCUGUUUUCCAAAUCUCAUUGUUGGUAGUGCCAGCAUUUUAAUACUCAAGCAAGCAAUGAAGUGAUUUUUUUUUUUUUUUUUUUUUUAUUAUUUAUGUUGGCCUUAUUAUUUUUGUUAUUUGAGUAUUUGUACCUUUGUUGACGAAAUGGUUGUUAUUUCUUAGAUUUUUUUGUAUUAACCCCAUUGCUGGGGAGGUUGUUCUGUUAGAAUUCAAAUGGAAUUCUUAAAUAAAUGGAA